GACGAACGCUGGCGGCGUGCUUAACACAUGCAAGUCGAACGGAGCUAUUUAUUUCGGUAAAUCGCUUAGUGGCAAACGGGUGAGUAACGCGUAGGCAACCUGCCCUCAGGAUGGGGACAACGGCUCGAAAGAGCCGCUAAUACCGAAUGACGUAACUCUUCCACAUGGAAGAGAAACUAAAGAUGGGUCAAACCAUCGCCUAAGGAUGGGCCUGCGUCUGAUUAGCCAGUUGGUGAGGUAACGGCUCACCAAAGCGACGAUCAGUAGCCGGUCUGAGAGGAUGAACGGCCACAAUGGGACUGAGACACGGCCCAUACUCCUACGGGAGGCAGCAGUGGGGAAUCUUCCGCAAUGGGCGAAAGCCUGACGGAGCAACGCCGCGUGAGUGAAGAAGGUCUUCGGAUCGUAAAGCUCUGUUGUCGGGGACGAAAGAGUAGACGAGGAAAUGCGUCUACUAAGACGGUA
This 465-nucleotide ribosomal RNA is filed under the name Veillonellaceae bacterium oral taxon 155. Its description in RNAcentral is "bacterial SSU rRNA". It matches the Rfam family "Bacterial small subunit ribosomal RNA", at positions 28 to 477 of the family's 1533-position model. Lineage: Bacteria; Bacillati; Bacillota; Negativicutes; Veillonellales; Veillonellaceae. The record is from RNAcentral.